AUAAGUAAGCGGAGGAUAAGAAACUAAAUAGGAUUCCCUCAGUAAUGGCGAAUGAACAGGGAUUAGCUCAGCAUGGAAAUCGGGGCCUCUGGCCUUGAAUUGUAGUCUCGAGAAGUAUCGCCAACGGAGGCGCAGAUGUAAGCCUCUUGGAAAAGAGCAUCAACGAGGGUGAGAGUCCCGUUUGUCAUCUGCAGUCCCCCGUGCACGGUGUACUUUCUAAAGAGUCACGUUCCUCGGGAUUGGAGCGCAAAGUGGGUGGUAAAUUUCAUCUAAAGCUAAAUAUAGGUUCGAGACCGAUAGCAAACAAGUACCAUGAGGGAAAGGUGAAAAGGACUUUGAAAAGAGAGUUAAAAGUGCCUGAAAUUGCUGAAAGGGAAGCGAAUGGAACCAGUGCUUCUUGGCAAGAUUGGUGCGUGCUAAUGUGAUUGCCUGCUUCCUCAGCGCAAGCGUGGCUGUGGGUUUUGAUCAGGACGCGCGUGUUGUUUCUUGCCUUGUGUGUCAUCGUCAGUUCUCAAUCGAGGAAAACGCCAGGGACAUGGUAGUUUGCCCAUGGGUGAGCGAAUGUGCUUGGUUGAACUCAUUUGUGAACUGGUUCUUGCGUGUCUGGUUGCAGUGCUCUGUGUCCCCAUGACUCUUUGGUGGGCUUGCCUUCCUUGGAUGGAGUGGGUGACCAGGACAUCUCCCUGACACAACGACGUUGACUAAAUGGUUCUAUUCGACCCGUCUUGAAACACGGACCAAGGAGUCUAACAUAUGUGCGAGUUCACGGGCGGGUAAACCUGCUUGCGCAAUGAAAGUGACUGCUGGGAUCUUUGCACCAGCAACCGACCAAUCAAUUGAGAGAGGUUUGAGUAUGAGCAUAUCUGUUAGGACCCGAAAGAUGGUGAACUAUGCGUGGUUAGGGCAAAGUCAGGGGAAACUCUGAUGGAGGCUCGUAGCGAUACUGACGUGCAAAUCGUUCGUCAAAAC
Molecule: ribosomal RNA, 969 nt
Filed under: Heterocapsa niei
Lineage: Eukaryota; Dinophyceae; Peridiniales; Heterocapsaceae
Description: partial large subunit ribosomal RNA
Rfam family: Eukaryotic large subunit ribosomal RNA
Source: RNAcentral